AUGAAAUUCAUAAUUCAAAAACGAAGCACACGUAUGAAAUUCUCUAUCAAUCCUUGUAGUAUAUUACAUGAAUAAAUGUAUCUAUCAUCCUCGUCAUCCAAGCAUUAUGGAGCAACAAAUGGGAAGUGGGUGCUUAAGCGUGUUCUCAGAAAUCAGAAUGAGUCCAAGCUCCAAUGUGUUGCUUAACAAAGCAAAAUGAACCCAAGAAAAACUCUUUCAGAUAUAAAGGAUAAAGAAUCUACCCAAUAUUCAAUAAUGCAACCGCCCAUUCACUCAGAACCAGGAAUUUACGAAAGAAAAUGGAAGGGUUGGCAAAAAAUUCCAAAUUCUCUACUGCUUACACAAUAGUAUAUACCAGCCAUAAACA
RNAcentral lists this unclassified non-coding RNA (367 nucleotides) under Hevea brasiliensis (rubber tree). Lineage: Eukaryota; Viridiplantae; Streptophyta; Magnoliopsida; Malpighiales; Euphorbiaceae. The record is from RNAcentral.